UCCGUAGGUGAACCUGCGGAAGGAUCAUUGUCGAAUCCUAGAAAGGACGACCGAGGACAUGUAAAUUAAUUGGGUAAGCGUCGGGCCGCCCUUCGGGCUGCUCGUCGCCCCCAGCUGGCCGGUCGGGGGACUUGCGACCCCGGCCGUCCGGACCUAACGAACCCCGGCGCGAACAGCGCCAAGGAAUCAUACAAGGAUGAGCUCGUCCAUGCGGUCCGUCCUCGGACUGCGUGGGGCGAAGGUCUACACAAAUACAACAACGACUCUCGGCAACGGAUAUCUCGGCUCUCGCAUCGAUGAAGAACGUAGCGAAAUGCGAUACUUGGUGUGAAUUGCAGAAUCCCGUGAACCAUCGAGUCUUUGAACGCAAGUUGCGCCCGAAGCCAUUAGGCCGAGGGCACGUCUGCCUGGGCGUCACGUGAUAGUGUGCCCCCCAACCAUCUUUGCGUGGGGGGGCGAAGCUUGGCCUCCCGUGAGCUCCAACUCGCGGUUGGCUUAAAAACGAGCCUCGGGACGGCGAUGACGUCGCGACAAGUGGUGGUCAGGAGGCCUUCGAGCCCCAGGGCUUUGCGAGUCGCGGGUCUGGUCCUCCUCAUGCUCGAAAGUGACCCUCAAUGGGGCGUCCCCGACGCCGCCAGCAUCGCGACCCCAGGUCAGGCGGGACUACCCGCUGAGUUAA
Molecule: ribosomal RNA, 679 nt
Filed under: Hylotelephium cauticola
Lineage: Eukaryota; Viridiplantae; Streptophyta; Magnoliopsida; Saxifragales; Crassulaceae
Description: eukaryotic LSU rRNA
Rfam family: 5.8S ribosomal RNA (bases 262-417)
Source: RNAcentral